GCCUGGGUGGUUCAGUCAGUGAAGCAUCUGACUUCAGCUCAGGUCAUGAUCUCGUGGUUCGUGGGUUCUAGCCCUAUCUUGGGCU
Molecule: transfer RNA, 85 nt
Filed under: Felis catus (domestic cat)
Lineage: Eukaryota; Metazoa; Chordata; Mammalia; Carnivora; Felidae
Rfam family: tRNA
About the family: Transfer RNA (tRNA) molecules are approximately 80 nucleotides in length. Their secondary structure includes four short double-helical elements and three loops (D, anti-codon, and T loops).
Source: Rfam by way of RNAcentral